UAAACUUAUAUACAUAUAAAUUGGUUUAUAUUAUUUCAGUUCGAUAUUGAAAAAAAAAAAAAUUAUAAAAUACAUUGGAAAUAAAAGUAAUUGGGAAAGAUGGUAAUAAAGGAAUCUUAAAAAUUUUGAAAGCAGUAUAAGUACAAAGGCAAAAGGGUACAAGACAUGGGAAGAAUUUGAACCAGUAAUUAAAUUAAUUAAGAAAUUUCUGAAAAACAAGACAUUCCCUUAUAAAUUUGCCAUUUCAAGUUGGAAUUAAAUUUGAAAUAUCUUUUAAUAACUACUUGUUACCAAAAAGAAAAUAUAUAUAUAUAUAUAAAUAUAUCUAACCGUUUCCACACUCACACACUAUAGUUCUAAAAAUUCCAAUGCUCAGUCAAUACUCGCAUACCCAUUUUUAUUUUGAGCUUGCCGCUUAAUAACCACGCCAGUAACAAAAAUAGCAAUUCCACAAAUACAACGCUGAUUAGUAGAGUGUGAAUGAAAAUAAUCAUCACCUCAAUAUUGCCGGCAAGGCGCGCAAAUAGAAAUUUAUACAAUUUUUUUUUUUUAUUAUUAUGAAUGCUUUUUUUUCCUUCUUUGUCUUUCUUUUGUAUUAACGCGUGUUUCGAUGAUUUGUGUAUACACAUGUCGUCAAGUCACAUUGGUUGGGUUGGUUAGCAUACGCUCUCGACGACUAUUCAUAUCAAUUCAGUCAUUUUCGAUUGCAGCCGACGUCGGCGUCCAAGUGGCUACGUCAAAAAAGUCGGCGUCGCCGUCGUUGUCGAGACAAGAUUUUGUUGUACUUUAUUUUGUUAAAAAAUUGGCGGGAAAUGUUUUUUUUUGUUUAAACACAUUAAGACUGCAAUGAUGAUAAACCAAGCAAGCAGUCACACAAUGUUCAGUCAGUCAGCCGGUUGGACACCGGUAUAUACAUGCAUAUAUAUGUACAUGUAAAUGUAUCACCAUUGCUUUCGUGGUGAUAGCAAUUGCAGCCAUCACAUGUGUUCCCCACUAAUCGUCUCCCAUUCGCAGAUAAUGUGUUGUUUAGGUGUUCGCUAAAUAUUGCUGUUAACGAUUUAGCAUCAUAAAAACAAUAUAAGUAGUAGUACUCAAGUAUUAUAAUAAAUGUUCUGUUCGUCUCUAUCUCUUUCUCUCUCUCUCUCUCAAUCUCUCCAUACAUGCAAUUUAUUGACUGAUGGCAUGCUUUGUAAAUGGCAUAAGGCAAGCAAAUAGUAAGUUGUUACCAUAGAAAGCAACACUGUGGUAGCACUGUAUUGUUUUUGGUGUAUCUAUGUAUGUAUGCUCGCGGAAUGAGGGCAAAGGGGUGGAAAUAAAAAACCAAAUUAUUGUUUCCCUUUCAAUAUAUUCAGUUGCAAAGGCGCAUGCAUUUUUCAGAUCUUUCAAUUAAUUUUUUUUUUGAUCAAUGACUUCAUCAUCAGCAGUAUCUUUUUUACUUGUUUUUGUAUCCGCAAAAGAAUAUCCCAAAGUACCUUUUGGAACAUGUUGCUUAUGGCCAGAUAAAAGCAGGCAGUACGGAUAUUUAGAAAAUAAAUAUAACUCUACCUCUCUUUAAUAUUGAAGCGUGUACCUGACCGCGGAUUUUUCUUGUUUAAAUUAACUCUGCAUCUUGUAUAUCAUACCAUAAACCAAUCACGUUCUAUUUUUCGCUAAUUCCCUAUUUCACUUCCAAUUAUGUGGCGUGAUUGUCGAUAGCUUUGAGACUAAUUGUAUAAUAAUAAUGAAACCUCAUAUUUCUAUUAGUGAUGAGUUGCUGAAUAUAUUACGAGCCUAUCGAGGCUGAAAACCCCCUAGAACCCUCUUAUUUCGCAAGCAUAAAACACCAUCGCAUAUAAAUAUGUAUAUUUGGAAAUAUGUAUACAUUUUAUGCAUUGGUAAGUCGAAGUCUCUUGACAACACUGUAGGAAGAGUCUAUACUCUUUAAAGAGCAAAAGUAAGAGAGUGUAUUGGAGGGGAAAUUUAGUUAAAAGAGCGCAAUACACAUUAAAGAGUACAAAGUGUAAAGAGAUAAUAAAAUUGGAGAGAAAAUUUCUUUCAGAAAGGCAAAGAGUUGAGAUACCGUGAUAUAUUUUGGUUAAUUUUAAUUAAAAUUGAUCCCCAGCACAUGUUUGUACGUACAGUUUAUUCCAACCACAUGGUCGCCGCAGAAAUGAUUAACACUUCUGUUUGUGAGGGGACCUUUUGGAUUUUUAAACCCUCGAAACUCACACUCAUACAUAAUUCCGAAAACGAAUUUUACCCACUAAUCGCCGAGGAAUAGGAGGCCAUUAAUCCUAACUAAAAGGUGGCACCCCUAGGUUGGACUCAACACUAAUCAUUCCAAGACAGAAAUAAUCCCCUUUACCUGAGGCAGGUCACUAAGGGGCAUGGAAGAAAUAACAUUAGACUGUAUCACUCCAGAGUGAUGAUUGGAUGCAAAAUACCGACGAGUUAGCAAGGCUACCAUAUUGUUGAUGAUAUGCAGAGGGUUUGCGGAUGAAUUUUGGAGAUGUAACCUAAACAUUCUAUAUUGAGUACAUCACUAUAGAAAAUCGAAAAAUAAUUUAUGCUGAAAUAAGCGUGGUCAACAACUGUACUCCACAAUAAUUACACUACCCAAACUCCUAAGACUUACAUGCGACUCUAUAGCAUGAGGAGAUGUGCGUUGGAAAUACGCUUUACUAGUUGUAGAACCACUAUAAAAUGUCGUAAAACACCUUAUAGUAUCAUAAAAUAAACAAGACAUUACAAAGUACGAUGUUACUCUAAUGCAAUAUGAAUGUGAGACUUCGCUACUACAGCAACAUAGAAUUUAUGACUUUUGCAAGAAGAAACGUCAAAUAUCUGUGGGUGAUUCCCAAAUGAUCAGCGAAGUGACACGGCUAAAGGUGCUUAUUGCUCGCAAUGGUCCAGUUCAGAUGUCUGAUCCGUUAGCGUCUUCCUAUCACUGUUCCUUUGAGCGAAACUGUUCUUUUUUGCAAUGCACCUAGUGCAAAAUUUGAAUACAUUCGACAUUUUUCCCCACUUUCUUAUACACACCUAUUAACUCUUGUGUCUUAUGGAAUUCCAAUGCCCAGAGCUUAGACAGAGAAAUGUAAUAGAACGUAAACAGAUCAAGGGUUGAAAUACAACUCGGUUAACAAAAGUAUCAUAUCGUUUUUACUGUUUGAAAACGAAGAUUCUCAUUUUGGUAUUAACGGAAUUCUCCUUCGAUACUACACAUUCAUCCCACAUCAAUUAACUUUAUAUUUGUAUGUAUGUACAUAUAUAUGAUGAUUUCGGCAAUGUAAAGGCGUCUCAACAAUGGCUUUUCUAUUAUCAUGAUUAUCAUCACUUCAAAUGCGAGAAUUUUGUAUAUUAAUUUACUCAUGCAACCAACAGUGAGCUUCCCUUCCUAGCUAAAAAAAAAACACCCUUUAUGUAUGCGUGAUACAGUGAAAUUUUAGCUGUCAAGCGAGAAAUUGACAGUUGAGCUUGAGACGUUAAUACAGAGGUGUUUUAUAAAUGAAUAUCACCUUAACUAUGAAAAUGAUGAUGUCUUCAGAUAUUUAUGUCUGUAUGUGUGAACAUAAUAAUAUGUAUUUUUUUAAAAAUCAAAAAUUUCUAAAUUGACAAUGAUUUAUAGGCACAAUGAUAAGAACUCGGUGUAUGUACAUACAUAGAUAACACAUCUUAAAAAAGUGUAAUUAUAUUCCGUGCCUCAACUUUAUUUAUGACCAAAGAAUUUUUUUUUUUUUGCCUUCACCAAAGCACCGCAGUAGAUUUUUGACUUGAUGCAUUUAUUUUGGCUUCUUUUUACUACAUUUCUCUUUAAUCCAUAAUAUUUGACCACCCUGUGGCACGCGACAGCAUUCCGUAUGCGGCCAUCAGACAAAAGGGAUUCUUCGUAUGCAUUCGUUCUCAAUGUGUUGGUCGUAUGGAUGGAUGGUUGGCCGGUCGAUUUUGGCUCGUCGUUUGGUGUACGUAUUCUAUCUUCAAAUACAGAAUGUAUAAGUAUUUUGUUGUUGGUGUUAUCCUGCACAACUUUUACAAAUAUAAAUACAUACAUAUGUACAUAUACAUGACUAUGUAUGCCUGAUUUGUUUAUACCCUUUAAAUGUUAAAAUAAAUUCAUACAUAAAUCAACUGUUUUCUUCGGUGGCUGGAUUGGCCAAUUGACUAAUGCAGUUUUAAUAGUAAAUUUAAAUGGAUUUGUGUCAUAUACAUAUGUAUAUGCACAUAUACAUAUAUACAUCGUAGUAAUAUUUAUUUAAUUUUCCUAUAUUUUAAUUUUAACUAGACUUGCAGUUGGUUGCUAUUUCGUGCAUAUACGUACAUGUACUUAUUAUUUAAUACGAACGUGUAUCAUGUAUAGGGUAUAUACAUACAUAUGUAUGUAUGUACAAUUAAAAUAUAUAUCUUUUCACCGUAUAUAAUUGAGUCACUGCGCGUUUCGUUAGCUGCCUGCCUGCCUGUUUACUGAUGGCACGUUGCUUUUGCUGGUGUACCAGCUAAAACGUACAUAAAAUUUAUUCACUUUCCUCUACCUUCCUCUAUAUAUACGUGUAUGUAUGUGCAUAUUUAGUACUUUAGGGCAGUGCCUUUUUGUGUGUGAGAAUUGAGUUUGCCCAUGGAAAUUUUCUUGAAAGUUAAAAAAAAUAGUGCUCAUUACUUUAGUAUCAGCUGAUUGUCAGAUUUCCAGCUGAUUGCCCUGCAAACACGUGAAUCGUCUGAGUCCGAAUUAACCCAACUUUUCACACAACGUCUUGCUGCUUAUGCCGCCCUAAUGCAUUCGUAGAUACUUUGGUACAUAUGUACGCAUCUAUCAAUACACAUACAUAGUAUAUCAGCAAACACAUGUGUAUGCUCAAAGAUAGGGUCGGUUGGUCGUUGGUUCAUCGUUCGUUCUUUUGCCCGAUGUAUAUACCAUUCUACCAUACAUACAUACCUACAGACAAAUUUACGUAUGAUAAGCGCCGUUGCCGUCGCCGUUGUCGUUAUUGCUUCGGUAUUGUGAAAUGAACGAAUGAAAGCUGUCGCCUGCUCGGUCGAUGUUGAGUAGAGUCACGCUACCAUUGCUCUGCAAGUGUGCACAUACAAACAUAUGUGUGUAAGUAUGCACAGUUGUAUUGUUGUUGUUAUUGUUGGUAAAGGGCGACGGGCCGUCGCAGAUGAUACACAUGUAUGUACGGGCGCAAAGCAAAAAGGCAACGAGCGAGCAGCAACAUCAGCGGAUUACUUGCUUUGCCAUUACCUUUGCCUUCGCCAUUCAAUUGUAGUAAGCGGCGCAGGCAAAUGUCGUAUAUUAGUGGCCAAGGGCUAGUGUAUAGUAGAGAAUAAAUGUAUAGCAUAAAGAAAUUCUUGGAACGAAAUUUCAAUAACUCUAACUCGAAACUAUGAAAUAUUAAGUGUUAUAAAGUACAAAUAUAGUUUGUAAACAAAUUUAUAUUCGAGGCUGGUGAUUCUAAUUUACAGAUUGCUAAAAUAAUACGAAUAAUGUGACUUAAAAAAACAGCGACAAAAUUUUUCAUUCAGUUAUACUAUAUGUAUGUAUGUAUACGAAUGUCCAAGCAAUCUUACUAAACACGAAUUCAUUGAAUAUUAUAGAAUGAAUGCAGUUCAUUAAUAAAGUUACAGAAAAAUUAAAAAAAAAAUAUAAACAUAGUUGUUAGUAAAAGUGACACAUAAAAUACGUACACGAAAUGAAUGGUGAGGCAAUAAAAGUAUUAAAUAAAAAAA
This is a long non-coding RNA of Ceratitis capitata (Mediterranean fruit fly), 5697 nucleotides long. RefSeq lists it as uncharacterized. NCBI's taxonomy places the organism in Eukaryota, Metazoa, Arthropoda, Insecta, Diptera, Tephritidae. The transcript has 2 exons. The record is from RefSeq and is a predicted model, not a curated record.